RNAcentral lists this non-coding RNA (31 nucleotides) under Bombyx mori (domestic silkworm). RNAcentral also lists the same sequence under 1 other name. Lineage: Eukaryota; Metazoa; Arthropoda; Insecta; Lepidoptera; Bombycidae. The record is from RNAcentral.
ACCACCAGGAGUGGAGCCUGCGGCUUAAAAA